UGAAAUAAUCAUAUUAUGUUUCAUUCAUGGAAUGUGAAACACAGUAGAGAAAGGGAGAGACCUGAGGGGCGAGUGCUGGAACUUGGGUCAGGGGGAUAGUAGUUCUUCUGGUCUCCAAUGAGGUGGGAGGAGGAAGCAGAAGCCGCCAUAACAGGGACAGCCAAGUUGUGGGAGAGCAAAGCAGCUGCCAAAACCCACAUUACAGCUGAUGAAGAAGAACUCUGCUGCAUUUCUCUCAUGGUGAGUGUAUGGGGGUAGAAGUAUGAGGUGCAAUGAGUUUGAGUGAAGUGGUGGAAGGGAUCAGUGUUGGGUUUUAUAGAAGCGAAAGGGAAGGUGGUGAAGUGGAGGAACAAAAGUAAAUUUAUUCCAUUGAAGCAAAGGAUGGUGCUGAGUAUUUGGUUAGUUGGGGUGGCGUUGUGGAAGCAUUUAUGAUCCCUCCCAUUUCCCCUAUGGCAAUUGCUUCUCUUUUCCGAGAUUUGCGUCUAUCGUUUGCCAGCAGAGCUAACUCGCUGCUGGCAUUGCCCAUCCAUUAGCUCUAUUCAUGUAAUUUCUUAUUCUUCUAAUUUUCAGGUCUUUUAUGUCUAACCAGAUCUGAAGUCCAAGUACUCAUCUAAAGCUUUUGAAUGGACUUCUUAAGUCCUAAUUAAGACUAUGUUUCUUAGGGAUGUUUUGGACUGAACAUGCCAUUUUCUUGGAUAAUGGAAAGGCCGGUUGGUCAAAAAGCCAUGUUCUUGGACCGGUUGGUCAAAUGACGAUUCAACUUUUGUUUAAAAGCUUAACCUGUUCUUGAGAUGUUGGAUAUGUCUAUAACCAUUCCAUCGAUGGUCUUCUAUGUUUAACAUCUCUGUGGCAGGUUUUGAAUUCAAGGGUCUUCACAUUUUGACGGUAUUCGAAGUAUGGCUGGCCAUCAGUUCCUUGGGAUCAGUGCUGUUCUUAAUCUGAGAUCAGGUUUAGUUUGUCUUAUUUCUCUUUACUCUACACUUCCUUUGGCUUUAUCAAUCGGUGAUCUAUGAUUGUUAAUCGUGCUAAAUGCUACAUAUCUCGUUAUAAAUAGAUCUUGUUAGGUUUGCCUUCAAUGUUAGUACAAGGUUUGGUAAAGGAAGUAGGUUCCCAGGGAAUGAAAGAUUAACAACGACAUGCUUCACUUGAGAUCUGGCCCCAAAGCUUCAUCCACCAAUGUCCAUGGCAACGACCACACCCAACUUCCAUAAAAUGUUAGAUUUAGUUGGACCAACAUUUUUACCCUGAUUUACUUAUGCUGAACCAUAUGCCAUUUAUGCAGAAUUAAUCCAAACUUGAAAUAUUUGCUAAUAAAAACCAAUUGACUGAUCUUAAUUGCUCAAACCCUCUAGUAUCCGAUACUCUCUCUAUAAAUGUAAAGUCAGUAACUUUUUCUUCUUCUUCUUCGUUGUCUUCUAUCUGUCAAAAUUAGUCUUCAAAAUAGUAUCUUUUGUCAUUAACCCUAACAAAAAUAGGAAGAGGUUCCUUCCUAGAUGCCAAAUGUUUGUUCAAAUCGGAUGUGAGAACAAUCAACAGAGUCGAAGUAACCUAACACUAACUUUUUUUUUUACCUCAGAGUGGUAAAGACAUGAACAAGGGAAAUGACACCUAGCAUUGGAGAAUGGCCAGUUUGUACAAAGAACCCUAAUUUAGGGAGGCCAAGCUAGGUGGCUGGAUGGACCAACAUUGCAACUUUCCAAAGAGUUCAUAAUGACUGUGGCAGAGGAGUAGUUGUGGUAGGCACAUAACAUGCUGGGGA
Molecule: long non-coding RNA, 1759 nt
Filed under: Linum usitatissimum (flax)
Lineage: Eukaryota; Viridiplantae; Streptophyta; Magnoliopsida; Malpighiales; Linaceae
Description: long non-coding RNA (LUSI_LNC002306)
Source: RNAcentral